UUCGGGUGAGGCAAGCGUUGUUCGGAAUCACUGGGCUUAAAGCGCGCGUAGGCGGCUUGUCAAGUCAGGGGUGAAAUCCUGAGGCUUAACCUCAGAAUUGCCUUUGAAACUAGCAGGCUGGAGUGUCGGAGGGGAUAGCGGAAUUCCUAAUGUAGAGGUGAAAUUCGUAGAUAUUAGGAGGAACACCGGUGGCGAAGGCGGCUAUCUGGACGACAACUGACGCUGAGGCGCGAAAGCGUGGGGAUCAAACAGG
This 253-nucleotide ribosomal RNA is filed under the name uncultured bacterium. RNAcentral describes it as "partial 16S ribosomal RNA". It matches the Rfam family "Bacterial small subunit ribosomal RNA", at positions 524 to 776 of the family's 1533-position model. The record is from RNAcentral.